This 427-nucleotide ribosomal RNA is filed under the name uncultured bacterium. RNAcentral's name for it is "partial 16S ribosomal RNA". It matches the Rfam family "Bacterial small subunit ribosomal RNA", at positions 355 to 774 of the family's 1533-position model. The record is from RNAcentral.
UGGGGAAUAUUGCACAAUGGGCGCAAGCCUGAUGCAGCCAUGCCGCGUGUAUGAAGAAGGCCUUCGGGUUGUAAAGUACUUUCAGCGAGGAGGAAGGCGUUGUGGUUAAUAACCGCAGCGAUUGACGUUACUCGCAGAAGAAGCACCGGCUAACUCCGUGCCAGCAGCCGCGGUAAUACGGAGGGUGCAAGCGUUAAUCGGAAUUACUGGGUGUAAAGCGCACGCAGGCGGUCUGUCAAGUCGGAUGUGAAAUCCCCGGACUCAACCUGGGAACUGCAUCCGAAACUGGCAGGCUAGAGUCUUGUAGAGGGGGGUAGAAUUCCAGGUGUAGCGGUGAAAUGCGUAGAGAUCUGGAGGAAUACCGGUGGCGAAGGCGGCCCCCUGGACAAAGACUGACGCUCAGGUGCGAAAGCGUGGGGAGCAAACA